CUUGGUUAAGUCAUUCACUAGUGUCUUGACGGUUGUUCUGGGGUCUUUAUACAGACACAUCUCUCAGUGGUUUUCAUUCCAGAUUCUUUGAAAUCUUUCACUUCUUACCUCUGCUAGG
Thalassophryne amazonica is the source of this 118-nucleotide long non-coding RNA. RefSeq lists it as uncharacterized. The record is from RefSeq and is a predicted model, not a curated record. Lineage: Eukaryota; Metazoa; Chordata; Actinopteri; Batrachoidiformes; Batrachoididae. The transcript has 3 exons.